This 505-nucleotide ribosomal RNA is filed under the name uncultured bacterium. Its description in RNAcentral is "partial 16S ribosomal RNA". It matches the Rfam family "Bacterial small subunit ribosomal RNA", at positions 28 to 507 of the family's 1533-position model. The record is from RNAcentral.
GACGAACGCUGGCGGCGUGCCUAAUACAUGCAAGUAGAACGCACAGUUUAUACCGUAGCUUGCUACACCAUAGACUGUGAGUUGCGAACGGGUGAGUAACGCGUAGGUAACCUGCCUGGUAGCGGGGGAUAACUAUUGGAAACGAUAGCUAAUACCGCAUAAUAUUAAUUAUUGCAUGAUAAUUAAUUGAAAGGUGCAAUUGCACCACUACCAGAUGGACCUGCGUUGUAUUAGCUAGUAGGUGAGGUAACGGCUCACCUAGGCGACGAUACAUAGCCGACCUGAGACGGUGAUCGGCCCCCCUGGGACUGAGACACGGCCCAGACUCCUACGGGAGGCAGCAGUAGGGAAUCUUCGGCAAUGGACGAAAGUCUGACCGAGCAACGCCGCGUGAGUGAAGAAGGUUUUCGGAUCGUAAAGCUCUGUUGUAAGAGAAGAACGGGUGUGAGAGUGGAAAGUUCACACUGUGACGGUAUCUUACCAGAAAGGGACGGCUAACUACGUG